CUAUACAUGACUCUGCGCAUAUCAAUAAGCGGAGGAAAAGUCAAGGUAUACCUACGCUUAGGAUGUUGAAGAUAUGCGCGACACGACUCUAUACAUGACUCUGCGCAUAUCAAUAAGCGGAGGAAAAGAAACUAACAAGGAUUCCCUUAGUAACGGCGAGUGAAGCGGGAAGAGCUCAAUUUGAAAUCUUCAAGGUUCUACCUUGACGAAUUGUAGUUUAUAGAAGUGUUUUCUGUUAGUAGAGUGGCAAAAGUUCUUUGGAAUAGGACAUCAUAGAGGGUGAGAAUCCCGUAUUUGGUCAUUCUUUCUAGCUUUGUGAUACACUUUCAACGAGUCGGAUUGUUUGGGAAUGCAGUCCAAAAUGGGUGGUAAAUUUCAUCUAAAGCUAAAUAUUGGCGAGAGACCGAUAGCGAACAAGUACCGUGAGGGAAAGAUGAAAAGAACUUUGAAAAGAGAGUUAAACAGUACGUGAAAUUGUCAAAAGGGAAGCGUUUGACACCAGUGUUGUUUUUCCGAAAAUCAAUUACGAAUGUUUUAUUUUGAGAAGUUAUGACUUCAUCGGCCUGCUUCUCUCUUUAUGAAACUUUCUUAAUGCACUUUUCAGUUAACAAGUCAACAUCAAUUUCUUUUGUUGUAAAAGGGUAAGAGGAAGGUGGCUUACGCUUCGGCGUAAGUGUUUAUAGCCUUUUACCUCUGCAAUCGGAGAGAUUGAGGACAGCAGCGUAGACUCUUCGGGGUUAGAUACACUUGUGCUAAGCUAUAGCCUUGUAUAGACAACUUGUUGACUAUGCUCAGUCAUGUAGCUUACUCGCUUGUGCUAUUUUACCUACGCUUAGGAUGUUGAAGAUAUGCGCGACACG
Molecule: ribosomal RNA, 860 nt
Filed under: uncultured Neocallimastigales
Lineage: Eukaryota; Fungi; Neocallimastigomycota; Neocallimastigomycetes; Neocallimastigales
Description: partial large subunit ribosomal RNA
Rfam family: Eukaryotic large subunit ribosomal RNA
Source: RNAcentral